RNAcentral lists this unclassified non-coding RNA (293 nucleotides) under Hevea brasiliensis (rubber tree). The record is from RNAcentral. Lineage: Eukaryota; Viridiplantae; Streptophyta; Magnoliopsida; Malpighiales; Euphorbiaceae.
AAAUAUUUAAAUUUCAAAUAUUUAAUAUCCAUAACCAUUCAAUAAUACCCGCUAUCUAAGCAAAGCCGUCAAAGGUGCUAAAAGGUUAAAGCCAAAAACCCGUUUAACAGCUUCACUUGUUCUCAUAAUAAACACUCAUUUAUUGCUUCCUGGUCCAAUUAAUGAAUCACAGGUUUGAGAGGAUGAGCUCUCAAUUUGGACAAGUCCAGAUUAGAAUCAAGUUCUUCAUCUAGCUCCCCAACAAUGCUUAUAUUGUCGCCUCUGAUUAUAUAUAAACCCAAAACAAGUUGCUG